Molecule: antisense RNA, 69 nt
Filed under: Kutzneria viridogrisea DSM 43870
Lineage: Bacteria; Bacillati; Actinomycetota; Actinomycetes; Pseudonocardiales; Pseudonocardiaceae
Description: Kutzneria albida DSM 43870 ASpks TB sRNA
Rfam family: ASpks TB sRNA
Source: Rfam by way of RNAcentral
CUUGGCCGAGCCCAGCCACAGCGGCCUGUCCCGGUCCUGGCCGUAGGUGGCCAGCACGGAGUGCGCCUC